This 465-nucleotide ribosomal RNA is filed under the name uncultured bacterium. RNAcentral's name for it is "partial 16S ribosomal RNA". It matches the Rfam family "Bacterial small subunit ribosomal RNA", at positions 28 to 507 of the family's 1533-position model. The record is from RNAcentral.
GACGAACGCUGGCGGCGUGCUUAACACAUGCAAGUCGAACGGAAAGGCCCCUUUGGGGGUACUCGAGUGGCGAACGGGUGAGUAACACGUGAGUAACCUGCCCUUGACUUCGGGAUAACUUCAGGAAACUGGGGCUAAUACCGGAUAGGAAUCCUUGCUGCAUGGUGGGGGUUGGAAAGCUUCGGCGGUUUUGGAUGGACUCGCGGCUUAUCAGCUUGUUGGUGGGGUAGUGGCUUACCAAGGCUUUGACGGGUAGCCGGCCUGAGAGGGAGACCGGCCACAUUGGGACUGAGAUACGGCCCAGACUCCUACGGGAGGCAGCAGUGGGGAAUAUUGCACAAUGGGCGGAAGCCUGAUGCAGCAACGCCGCGUGCGGGAUGACGGCCUUCGGGUUGUAAACCGCUUUCAGCAGGGGCGAAGCUUGUGGUGACGGUACCUGCAGAAGAAGCACCGGCUAACUACGUG